Long non-coding RNA from Cebus imitator (Panamanian white-faced capuchin), 1310 nucleotides. RefSeq lists it as uncharacterized. The record is from RefSeq and is a predicted model, not a curated record. NCBI's taxonomy places the organism in Eukaryota, Metazoa, Chordata, Mammalia, Primates, Cebidae. The transcript is spliced from 3 exons.
GAGUUGGUUCCAUGUCUUUCCUAUUGGGAAUUGUGCUGCAAAAAACAUACAUGGAGCAGAUUGUGCUCAGAGCAAGAUGGACUUCUGAGCAAGAUGGAGCUUGGGGCAGAUGGAGCUCAGGGCAGAUGGAGCUCCAGGUGAGAUGGAGCUCCAAGCAUUAUGAAUCUCAGAGCACAUGUUGCACAGAGUAUAAGAGGGAGCUCCAAGCAUAUGGUCUCAGCGCAACAUGGAGCUCAGAGCAGACAGUGCUCAGAGCAAGAUGGAGCUUGGUGUGAUUGGAGCUCUAAGCAGAUGGAGCUCAGGGCAGAUGGUGUUCAGAGCAAGAUAGAGUUUAGAGUGGUUGGAGCUCUGAGCAGUUGGUGCUCAGAGCCAGAUGGAGCUUGGAGUGAUUGAAGCUCCGAGCAAGCUGGAGCUUAGAGCAGAUGACGCUCUGAGCAGAUUAAGCUUAGACAAGAAGGAGCUCCAAGCAAGAUGGAGCUUGGAGCUGAUGUUCCUCUGUGUAAGAUGGAUCUCAGAGCUAGAUGGAGCUUGGCGUGAAAGGAGCUCAGAGCAGAUGGUGCUCAGAGAAAGAUGGAGCUCAGAGUGAUUGGACCUCUGAGCAAGAUGGAGCUCAGAGCAGAUGGAGCUCAGAGCAAGAUGGAGCUUGGAGUGACUGGAGCUCUGAGCAAGAUGGAGCUUGGAGCAGAUGGAGCUCAGAGCAAGAUGGAGCUUGGAGUGAUUGGAGCUCUGAGAAAGAUGGAACUCGGAGCAGAUGAAGCUCUGAGCAGAUUAAUCUCAGACAAGAAGGAGCUCUAAACAAGAUGGAGCUUUGAGCUGAUGUUCCUUUGGUAAGAUGGAGCUCAGAGCUAGAUGGAGCUCGGAGUGAUAGGAAUUUAGAGCAGACGGUGCUCAGAGCAAGAUGUAGCUCAGAGUGAUUGGAGCUCUGAGCAAGAUGGAGCUCAGAGCAGAUGGAGCUCUGAGCAAGAUGGAGCUCGGAGUGACUGGAGCACGGAGCAAGAUGGAGCUUGGAGUGAUUGGAGCACUGAGCAAGAUGGAGCUCUGAGCAGAUUAAGCUCAGAAAAGAAGGAGCUCCAACCAAGAUGGAACUUGGAGCUGAUGUUCCUUUGCGUAAGAUGGAGUGCAGAGCAAGAUAGAGCUCUGAACAAGAUGGUGCUCAGAGCAGACAGACCUCUGAGCAGUAAGGAGCUGUAAGCAAGAUGGAGCUUGGUGCAGAUGUUGCUUGGUUUUAGGUGGAGCUCAGAGCAGAUGGUGCUAACAGCAGGAUGGAGCUCAGAGUGAUUAGAGCUCCAAACAAGAUGGAGCUCAGAGCA